Non-coding RNA from Biomphalaria pfeifferi, 552 nucleotides. The record is from the annotation of a GenBank genome assembly. NCBI's taxonomy places the organism in Eukaryota, Metazoa, Mollusca, Gastropoda, Planorbidae.
CACCGUUCCGCCGAAUCAACUCUUGCACUGGCCUCUCCGUCUCGUUCCGGGCUAGCACUGGAUUCAACAGUUCAGGACUGACUUCACACACUAGGCUCGUUGUGUUGGACUCGAUCACAGACCAAGAUCAAGACGCCAGUCGUCUCAACUGUACUUGACAGUACUCCGCACUGAACCGUCGUAAUGCUCCGUACAGAACCACACCGUUGAACUGUGCUGUAGUUGACCGUGUUCUGAUCCCUUGUCGUGAACCACUUUUCUCGACAUUGCUGUAUGACCUUUCUCAACCUUCUUGACUGUGACACCUCCGCUCUUAUAUAGGGUCCCUACUUGCCUUCUCGAACCGGACAGAACGCUGCUCGACGUUUGUAGGUGGUCAGAUGACUCUCGUGACGCUUCUGAGCUCUGUUCACGACGUCGAUCCUUCCCAAACCGUCGUGUUGACACUCGUCUCGCCUGACCGUCGUAACUCGUCACGGUUGGCCGCUCGUCUAGCGCUGGCCUGGGGCGAUUUGCGUCGACUGACUACACUCACACCACUACCCCCAACCA